ACAUCUAUAAGGUACAACUAACAUGCAUGAAUCGAAUUCUUUUAUGGCCGAGGUUUCAAGCAGAUCAGAUGUCUUGAAACUUGAAACUCCCCCUCUUCACCUCAAUUCGAUUUCAGCAUUAUAGGUAGUAUGUACUGAUCUGAUAUAAAUGCCAGAAGAAGACUGAAGAAACAUAUAUGGGUUUUGUCAGGGAUGAGUAUAACCCAGCUAAGUUGUCAAAUAAGGGAAUCGUAGAUUGCCAAUACUUUUUGGUCAGGUUAUCGGGAUGGUUUGCUACCAAUGGAUCGGAUGGAGUUAGAUGUAUACAGUACAUGUAUAUUUAAUUGUGAACCUUUAUUAUGACAGACCAAGGAGCAUGAUAUGAUUUGAAGAUGAAGAUUAUUCAAUUUUGAGUCGGUCAUAUGUGGAAAACUUAUGUGUUUGUUUAUUUUGCCGUGAGCAUGGAUUGAAGACGGUGCAUCUCAACAUCAUAUCAUAUCUACCAUUAUUUUUCAUGCAAAUUCAUUCAAGAAGAUAAGUUUAAGAAUUCAAAAAACAAUAAAUCUUUGGUGCCCAUCCAAGUUAAAAGCACAAGAGUCACAAAAGCAGAUAAAGUAAUCCCCAACAAGUGAUCCCCAUGUAACUUGACCAUAGUUUGAAGAUAGAAGAAGAUAAGACUACCUUACCUUAUCUCCAUUGGUUUUCCUUUAUUUUGGUUCAUAUAUUUUUAACGUUGUGCAUACGGCUAGCUUAGUAACACUUUUACAACCUAAUAAGAACGCGAAUUGCAAGGUUUGCCAAAACCAUUGGGAAAACAUUAUUAAUUGCAUAAUAAUAAUAAGAAACUAGUUAGGGGGAAUUGUUGAUUUGCAGAAAAUUUUAAACUAGAAAAUAUUUACUUAAUUACAUAUCAAGUUUAAUGCAUGGGAAUCAUAUAUUUUAAAACUUUGAAUAUUAAUGCACCAAACACUUGUAAUAAUCUCAAUAAUCUAACUUAAAAGCUUUCCAUUCUCAACUCCUAGCUAUAGUAACUUUUGAAAUUUCAACUAAAUUUCAUCAUUCAGCCAGGUGUGACACACAAAGUCUUUAAUUUGUACUUCAAAUAAUCCUAUAUUUUUUAAUCCCAAUUUAUUCAAAUUAUAAAAUGAAAAAAAAAGGAUUUUGCCUAGUGU
This is a long non-coding RNA of Ipomoea nil (Japanese morning glory), 1151 nucleotides long. RefSeq lists it as uncharacterized. The record is from RefSeq and is a predicted model, not a curated record. Lineage: Eukaryota; Viridiplantae; Streptophyta; Magnoliopsida; Solanales; Convolvulaceae. The transcript has 3 exons.